CAGGUCUACCGAUUGGUAGCUGAUUCUGAGAGAUGAUACGCAACUGACUGAACCGUCAAUUCCUACGGAAGCAGCAGUGGGAUAUUGCGCAUGGGGAAAUCUGACGCAGCGACGCGUGUGAGGAGAGCUUUCGGGUCGUAAACUCGUCGGGAGGGAGACUUCAGUCUGAUAAGCCUGGAACUGACGUACUCAAAGAAGCACGGCUAACUCCGUGCCAGCAGCCGCGGUAAUACGUAGGGGGCUAGCGUUGUCCGGAUUCACUGGGUGUAAAGGGCGCGUAGGCGGGAUAGCAAGUCAGUGGUGAAAUCUUGCAGCUCAACUGCAAAACUGCCAUUGAUACUGCUGUUCUUGAAUGUGGAAGAGAGAGGCGGAAUUCCAGGUGUAGUAGUGAAAUACGUAGAUAUCUGGAAGAACACCAAUUGCGAAGGCUGCUUCUUGGUCCAUUAUUGACGCUGAGGCGCGAAAGCGUGGGGAGCAAACAGGAUUAGAUACCCUGGUAGUCCACGCUGUAAACGAUGAGUGCUAGAUGCCGGAUUUUUUCGGUGUCGCAGCUAACGCAUUAAGCACUCCACCUGGGAAGUACGAUCGCAAGGUUGAAACUCAAAGGAAUUGACGGGGGCCCGCACAAGCGGUGGAGCAUGUGGUUUAAUUCGAUGAUACGCGAGGAACCUUACCUGGGCUUAAAUGUAGAACGCUUUUUGCUGAAAGGCAAUUUUCCUUCGGGACGUUUUGCAAGGUGCUGCAUGGUUGUCGUCAGCUCGUGCCGUGAGGUGUCGGGUUAAGUCCCAUAACGAGCGCAACCCUUAUCAUUAGUUGCCAACAGGUAAUGCUGGGGACUCUAAUGAAACUGCCUACGCAAGUAGUGAGGAAGGUGGGGAUGACGUCAAAUCAGCACGGCCCUUAUGUCCAGGGCUACACACGUGCUACAAUGGUCAGUACAAAGGGCAGCUACCUGGUGACAGGAUGCUAAUCUCAAAAUCUGAUCUCAGUUCGGAUCGAAGUCUGCAACUCGACUUCGUGAAGCUGGAAUCGCUAGUAAUCGCGCAUCAGCCAUGGCGCGGUGAAUACGUUCCCGGGCCUUGUACACACCGCCCGUCAAGCCAUGGAAGCUGGGGGUACCUAAAGUUCGUGACCGCAAGGAGCGACCUAGGGUAAAACCGGUGACUGGGGCUAAGUCGUAACAAGGUAGCCGU
RNAcentral lists this ribosomal RNA (1193 nucleotides) under denitrifying bacterium enrichment culture clone NOB_2_B9. RNAcentral's name for it is "bacterial SSU rRNA". It matches the Rfam family "Bacterial small subunit ribosomal RNA", at positions 269 to 1503 of the family's 1533-position model. The record is from RNAcentral.